AUUGAACGCUGGCGGCAGGCUUAACACAUGCAAGUCGAACGGUAGCAGGAGAAAGCUUGCUUUCUUGCUGACGAGUGGCGGACGGGUGAGUAAUGCUUGGGAAUCUGGCUUAUGGAGGGGGAUAACUACGGGAAACUGUAGCUAAUACCGCGUAAUAUCUUCGGAUUAAAGAAUGGGACUUUUAGCCAUUCGCCAUAAGAUGAGCCCAAGUGGGAUUAGGUAGUUGGUGGGGUAAAGGCCUACCAAGCCGACGAUCUCUAGCUGGUCUGAGAGGAUGACCAGCCACACUGGAACUGAGACACGGUCCAGACUCCUACGGGAGGCAGCAGUGGGGAAUAUUGCGCAAUGGGGGCAACCCUGACGCAGCCAUGCCGCGUGAAUGAAGAAGGCCUUCGGGUUGUAAAGUUCUUUCGGUGGUGAGGAAGGCUAAUAUGUUAAUAGCAUAUUAGAUUGACGCUAGCCACAGAAGAAGCACCGGCUAACUCCGUG
RNAcentral lists this ribosomal RNA (489 nucleotides) under uncultured bacterium. Its description in RNAcentral is "partial 16S ribosomal RNA". It matches the Rfam family "Bacterial small subunit ribosomal RNA", at positions 30 to 507 of the family's 1533-position model. The record is from RNAcentral.